UGGGGGAUAUUGCACAAUGGGGGGGAACCCUGAUGCAGCGACGCCGCGUGAAGGAAGAAGUAUCUCGGUAUGUAAACUUCUAUCAGCAGGGAAGAAAAUGACGGUACCUGACUAAGAAGCCCCGGCUAACUACGUGCC
This 138-nucleotide ribosomal RNA is filed under the name uncultured bacterium. Its description in RNAcentral is "partial 16S ribosomal RNA". It matches the Rfam family "Bacterial small subunit ribosomal RNA", at positions 355 to 509 of the family's 1533-position model. The record is from RNAcentral.